AGGACGAACGCUGGCGGCGUGCUUAACACAUGCAAGUCGGACGGUCGGCACUGGAAGGUUCGCUGGAAGGUGCCGAUAGUGGCGGACGGGUGAGUAACGCGUGAGGACAUGGCUCCAGGAGGGGGAUAACGUUUGGAAACGGACGCUAAGACCCCAUAAGCCGGGAGGUGAAAAUGGCGCAAGCCAGCCUGGAGAGUGACUCGCGUCCUAUCAGCUGGUUGGUGGGGUGACGGCCCACCAAGGCGAUGACGGGUAGCCGACCUGAGAGGGUGGCCGGCCACACUGGAACUGAGAUACGGUCCAGACUCCUACGGGAGGCAGCAGUGGGGAAUAUUGGGCAAUGGGCGCAAGCCUGACCCAGCGACGCCGCGUGGGGGAAGAAGUCUUUCGGGACGUAAACCCAUGUUGUACGGGACGAAGGAAGUGACGGUACCGUACGAGGAAGCCCCGGCAAACUACGUG
Molecule: ribosomal RNA, 462 nt
Filed under: uncultured bacterium
Lineage: Bacteria
Description: bacterial SSU rRNA
Rfam family: Bacterial small subunit ribosomal RNA
Source: RNAcentral